Marmota monax (woodchuck) is the source of this 1346-nucleotide long non-coding RNA. RefSeq lists it as uncharacterized. The record is from RefSeq and is a predicted model, not a curated record. NCBI's taxonomy places the organism in Eukaryota, Metazoa, Chordata, Mammalia, Rodentia, Sciuridae. The transcript has 3 exons.
GGCGCGAGGAAGCCAACACAGAGCGUGUGGGCGAUGCCCGACGAGCGGCGGGAGGCGUGGCGAGCCCCGGCGGGAAAGCGCACGCGGCCGAAUCCCGCCACCUCCCGGCUCGUGUGCGCGUGCGCAGGGACGCGGAGCGCGCCGCCGACUACCUGUGACUGCGUGCUCGAAGCUUCGGUCGGUUGGAAAUUGUGGUCCCGCGCUCUCUGGGUCCGGCCCGCGGUCCCCAUUCUGCUCACUCAUCCGGGGCCAAGAGGAAGCCGAGGAGAGAGGCGGGGCGACUGAACUACAAUUCCCAGCAGGCCUUGCGGGGAGGCCGGGGCCGCCUGCGAGCCCCACUGGGAGACCAGACCCUGGGCGGCGGCCUUGAGGGUCACGCCUCGGGCCCUGGGAUAGUUUGGGGGUUUAACACUGGCGGGGCCCCCAGAUGCACCGCAGAAGAGAAGCCUCAACGCCAUGUGACGUGAACGUCGUUGAGUUUUUAAUGAUUUUGACUUCACAAGGAGAGGAAGCCAUGACUUAAUUACCACCAUUAUCAUCGCCACCCUCUCUUCUAGUCGCCAGAGUUUGAUGUGCACCGUCACCGCCCUAACGUCUGUCUGCCACCGCCUUGUCCAGCUUACAGGAUCAUGGUGCUGGGAAUCAAGUCCAGGACCUUAUGCAUUCUGGGUGUUGGGGGUGCUCAGGACUGAACCCAGGGCCUUACAUGCAUACUAAGCAUUCACUUUACCACUAAGAUACAUCCACAGACAAUUCAACAUUUUAAAAUUGAAGUAUAUCUUGUCCUGAUAUUCAAGAAAAAAAAAAUAAGGACAGGUGGGAGUGUAGCUCAGUGGUAAAGUACAUGCUCAGCAUGCUGAAGGAUAUGCGUUCAAUCUCCAGCAUGAAGAAGAAGGAGAAGGAGAAGAAGCUGAGAUGGGAAUUUGGGGCAGGGGAAGACUGAGACUGCUUUACCAUUAGCCAAGUAGGUAUGACAAUUUCCUUGCCAGCGUACCCCAUAUUGCAGUGACAUUGAAUGUAGGUGACCUUGCUCAAGGACCAAGGCGGAUUAGGGCGUUCCGGUUUAGGUUCCAGGUUUAAGGUUUAAGAUUAUUCCUGCUGGGAAUAGGGCGUAUCCUGCUGCCUGAGUUCCCCUUGAGUUCUCACGGGAUUCAGACAGUAUAUUUUGGAGAUAGAAGCCCAGUGGAGGUGGAUUUGGGCAGAGAACGUGGAUUUCCCCAGAACGUGAUUGUAGACGGCUGGUGUGAGUUCGGGAAUAAAGAGUUGCUGUUUGAAUCUACAAGCUGUGUGGUGGCUCGUGAUUGUGUGCCCAGCCAGACUGCGGCAUUUGUGCCCAGCCAGACUGC